RNAcentral lists this long non-coding RNA (223 nucleotides) under Lotus japonicus. RNAcentral describes it as "long non-coding RNA (LJAP_LNC000443)". Lineage: Eukaryota; Viridiplantae; Streptophyta; Magnoliopsida; Fabales; Fabaceae. The record is from RNAcentral.
CUGCCAAUGUAUAGCUUUCAAGGUAAACAGACCAAGCUCUCGAAAUCCAAACAAAGGAAAGCAUGAGCCUCUCUCUCUCUUUCAUUCGGUUGAAUUGGUAACUGCAUUGGCUAUUGGCUAUCCAUUCACAAAUCAUCUGAAAAAGUGGGUUGAUUCCCCCACCAGAUGUUUAAUCACUUGUUCAAUCCUAUCUUAAAAGAGAUGCUCAUCUGCUCUAGUUAGC